ACCGUGAAAGUCUCUCCUGCUCCGUUGAGAUAGUCUUCCUGUGAGAUCUUCGAUACAUCAACACCUGCAGGAACCUCAUCCUCGUCGAAGACAAUGUUGUGUGGGAAUCCAGCAUUGUUUUUGAAUGUAAUCUUCUCUCCAGAAGCUACUGAAAAAGAGCUUGGAGAGAAAACAAGAGCACCGUCGUCAGCUCCCAGCUUGACCUCGGCUGCCAUGGCAGUGCUUGCGAGUAGCAAUGCACUGGCAGCUGUGGUGACAGCGGCCACACCGACAUCUUUCAACGAGGCCUUGAUGGAUAGCAUGGGGGUGGAAACCUUGGUGGUGGCGCUGACUCUGGAGGCAGUGGCCCCGGCUGACUUGAGGCCGGUGAAAGAUGGGAUGGAAACAGCUGCUGUGGUGAUGGUUGCCAUUUGGUAUGUUUGGUCUAAGUGUUGAUGGGAUAUCAAAGAAUGAGAAGAAGGGUGGAUGGAUAUUAAUAAUACAAGGUGGGAUUUGAUGAUAGGAUAGGAAGGGAGGGGCUGAAUUGUGAGUUGGAAGUUUCUGUGGUGGCAAAGGUUAGAUAUCAGAUAAUGCAUUCAUGGCAACA
RNAcentral lists this long non-coding RNA (586 nucleotides) under Daucus carota (carrot). RNAcentral's name for it is "long non-coding RNA (DCAR_LNC003063)". Lineage: Eukaryota; Viridiplantae; Streptophyta; Magnoliopsida; Apiales; Apiaceae. The record is from RNAcentral.